CUAUGGCUUAAUGAUGUAUAAAUAUGAAUUUAAAGCAAAGGUCAAAAUCUAGAACGUCCAAUUUACCUUUGACCUGACUCAAUUUCAAGGUCAUAGACUAAACAUCUCGAAUCAAAAGACACUAGUUCCUUAAUAUGUAUGGUUCAUGAGUAAUAUCACUUUACGCAUAAUUCUAAAUAUAAGAGAGGCAAAAACUCCCAUGUAUUGUCUACGCACCCUUCCAAUCAAAAUUUAUCAGUUACGACAUGUCGCAACUAACAAUUUAGUAAAAAUAAUUUGUCGAAAUCUUAUAAAGUUAAUGAAGUAAGUGAAAAUAAGCCAAAAUCAAAAAGGUCAAAAUUUGACCUUGACCUUUGACCUUGACCUAAUUUUCAUUUUUUUGGACCAAGGAUCUUAAAUCAAAAGACCCUAGGUCUCUAUCACUUAUGGUUUACAGUUAGAAAUGCAAAUCAUAUAUCAUAUAUAAAAGGGGGGAUAUCUCUCAUAUGGAGUCUCCGGAUAGCUUCAGUCCAAAUAAAACAGAACAUCCUGAGGAUAUAACGAGCAAUUUGGAAAAAUAAAUUUGUCGGUUUCUUAUACGGUUGCGAAGCCUUAGAGAUAACAAGAAAAACAGUGUUCGGGGAGAUAACUCUUACAAGGUAAAGUUUUUUGUUACGCGGUGUCAGUUUCAGAAGCGUAUUAACUGUUCGAUAUCAUAUACCAUAUAUCUUACGACAUCUGCAAACAAAAAAACAGUGAAGGAAAAAAAAGUUGGCGGAAGAAAAAAAAAAAUAAUAAUAAUAAUAAUAAUAAUAAUAAUAAUCAGAACAAA
This 811-nucleotide long non-coding RNA is filed under the name Mytilus galloprovincialis (Mediterranean mussel). The record is from RNAcentral. Lineage: Eukaryota; Metazoa; Mollusca; Bivalvia; Mytilida; Mytilidae.